Non-coding RNA from Lactuca sativa (garden lettuce), 2872 nucleotides. NCBI's taxonomy places the organism in Eukaryota, Viridiplantae, Streptophyta, Magnoliopsida, Asterales, Asteraceae. The record is from RefSeq and is a predicted model, not a curated record.
GUUCUUCUCUCUCUUACUCAAAUACCCAAAAAAAACCCUAAGUCAUCACCAAAUCUCCGAUCUCCCACCGGCAAAAUGUCUCCACCUACUCUCUGCCCUCAUACUAUUUCUCUCAAUUAAAAAUGCAAAAACCCUCAAUCAGAUAACCAUGGCUACUUCUCCCUUCCUUAUCUUCUCAAAAACCCCAAAUUUCGUUAGCUGUAAAUCAAUUGCGAAUCCGACCUGAAGACCGGUACCAUACUUCGAGCUCACUCUCCUUCCGGAAGAUUCUACACCUCGCCAUCGUCAAACUCGUUUGCUUCCUCCACCUCUGCCUUCUCGUCGAGCCUGUCGUCGUUCUUUCAGAGUCGAUCUACAUCACCUACAAGUGUCAACGUAUACGGAUCAUCUCCAUCGGCGUCGAAUAUACGAUUUUCUCUCAAUAAUCGUCAAAUUUCUCCGAGUUGUUCGAUCUCUGUAAUUCCGAGGAGUAAUAAUAGUAAUCAAGCGUCAAAAAAGAAGUUGGAUAAACCAAGGAGGAUGUGUAUGUGUUCUCCUACUUCGCAUCCAGAUUAUGUAGGCAAGCUGUUCGAUGAAAUGCCAGGAGACGAGUUUUGGUUUGAACUAAAAGCCAUCAGAUGGUAUCUUGUUUCUGUUGACCCACCUUUGACCGUACUUCCAUGGUAUGUGUCACACUUGCUAGGAAUGUUGGAGAGAUGCGAACAGAAACAAAGUUGCUUCCCCAAUGUUGGGAGCAAAUUAGUCACAUGUAUGAGGAAGGCAGGCUGCUUGUAGCUCAAUCAUGUGUGGAGCUUGUAGGAUUUGUGGAACUGAAGCCACCUUCUCUUGGUAAGUGGAAAAGUUUUUUAUGUGAUUAUAUAUGUUGCAGAUCAACCGAGUUUAAUUUAUUCACUGUGAAUCAUUUCUGCAUAGGGAUAUAAAGCCAGACAACUUCCUUAUGGGUUUAGGGAGGCGUGCUAAUCAGGUCUAUGCUAUUGAUUUCGGGCUAGCCAAGAAAUAUAGAGACUCUUCAACUCAUCGGCACAUUCCAUAUAGAGAGAACAAGAAUUUGACAGGGACAGCUAGAUAUGCAAGCAUGAACCCAAGCCUGAUGAAACAUAAGAGGUCAGUUUAAUGUGAACUUAUUGUAUGCAAGCAUUAAUCCAUCUUCUGAGCAAUAUUGGACAAGAAAUAUACAGGAUAAUAUAAGUGAACAGUUAACAAGUGGCAUCAUGCCUGAGCAGUUAAGUCUUUACUAUCGUGAUCCUCAAGGGGAGAUUCAGGGACCAUUUCUUGGGGUAGACAUCAUAUCAUGGUUUGAUUAAGGAUUUUUCGGGGCAGAUUUGCCAGUUCGAGUGGAACCUUGAUAUCUCAAGUUGUCGUAUAUAUGGCAUUGCUCGUAGAUCAUAAGGCCACCAUCAUUGAUAAGCAUCCAGGCAUAUUGGUCAGCUUCCUUUGCCAAAACAAAUAAAUGAAGAAAAAGUGUUAACAGAAAUCAAUAGUGACAAGGAUGUCAUGUGGAUGAGUUUCACCUCUCAACAUUAGUAAACUUGCUAUGAAAGGAAGAGAACCCUUUUUUCUUCCUUGCACCCCAAAGGCAAGCCAAUCAAUCCCAUUUUUAUUUACCAUUUAGGAUAGGGUAUAAAUAUAAUAAACAAAACAGAUAAAUGAUUUUUUUUUCUGAAACACGGAUGUAUAGAACUUCUGAAAACGUGCAGUUGUUGGUAGAAGUAACAUUGUUGGGUUACCAGUUUCAAUACUUCUAUUGAAGGAAGAUGUAAUAGUUACUGUUGUUUAUCCGCGUACAGAGGAUCUAGAAAGUAUGAUUCAUGAGGCAGACAUUUUUAUUGCUGCUAUUGGACAACCCAUGAUGCUUGACGAUGGGGACAUUAUCUGCUUCCAAAAACCUCUCAAGGGCGGAACUGUAAAAAACCGCUAUCAAGAUGUUCCAUCUUUUCUGGAAUAUGUUCAUAAUCAUCAGGUUGUACGCUUUCGUUCACUGGAGAAACCAAAAGAGGAUGAGUUCUCAUUGGAACUAUAAGUUUCCUAAGAAUAAGAUCUUAAUUUCACGGUGGUUGCUGACUAAAAUCCAGCUCAACGCCUUGGUGCCAUAGGAGCUAUACAGUUAACAUUUUCUCUCUCCAUUAUAUAUAUAUAUAUAUAUAUAUAUAUAUAUAUAUAUAUAAAGAAAAGGAAAAGAGGUAGGAAGUUAAUUGAUAAAUAAUGUGUGUGACUUAUUAAUGAUAAACAAACAGGUAAAGACGCACCAUUUCUUUAAGAAUAUCCACUGGGACACAAUUUGUCAUCAUAGAAGAAGACCCUGCUGUCUCACAAGGGUAAUAUUGUAAUAGGGCUGACAUUGUUCUUAAGAUGCACAUUAAUGACAUUGUUGGGAGUUUUUUGUUUGAAGGUCUUCAACCUUCACAGACAAUGAUUGGACACUUAGUAGAAAUGGAGAGUCAACUGGUAGGGAAAUUGUUAAUUUUUCAAAGUAAAACAAAGGGUUGAUUGAACGAGAGAAAAGAAAACACCAACACUCCAUGGCUAAUAAGAAUAUAAAAAUAAAGAUAUGAGGCAAAAAAGUCUUUGUUUGACAGCUUGUACAAACUUUGUAGCACCUGAUCGUCCAUGCCACUCUUGGUAAAACAAAUUUAUAGUGUACUUCUUCCAUUCAUGUUAGUAAUUUCUCGUUAUGAUGUGUUGUUUCUUGUGCAAUUUUAUUUUUAGGAGGUAUUUUACUUUAUUAAAUGUUUAAAGUUACAGGACAUGAGUAUGGGCACAUCAUAGAAUAUUUUAGGGCAACUGUUGGUUUUCCUCUUGGUGAUCUGUCAAUGAAGUGGCCAACAUCAUGUAAAAACAUUUUAGGGGAAGAUGUAGGUAUAUAUUUUUUUAA